GCAGAAUUUGAAUGACUCUUAAACAAAAUCAGGGACAAGACCGUUGUUAGUGAUCAUUACCCUCACUAUCUUAUUGAAUUUAGGAGCUAAACACACUUAAUCUCACUUUUCCCACCUCUUCAGCAAUUUUAGCAGAAUUUCACUAACUGCCUGUGUGCGUGCGCGCGCGCCAGCGCGUGCGCGGGUAGCUAACUGAAACAACAAAAAGAGAGAUCCUGGGUGAGAAGUCAGAUACAUAUGGGACAGGUCAGCUCCUAGAAGAUCCAUCAGUAGAUGCCAGGAGAAAAGAAGUGCAAGAGCCACCUCAAAGUUCUCUGAGUUCAGUGGGAGUGAAACGCAAACGAAGUCACAUGGGAUCUAGUCCCCUGACCAGGGAUCAGACCCGCACCCCCUGCAUUGGAAGGCGGAGUCAACUCCUGGGCCACCUCGGAAGUCCUGGGAAGGAAAGCCAGCUCACACGGAAGCGUCCGCGCGAGGGCCACGCAAAGCAGCACGGGACGGAAGCGGGCAUCUCUGAGGACGCGGCGUCUCAAGGUUCCCACUGUCAAGACGGUCCGGGAGGAAAUGGCCUCGCUAGCCGCACUCCCAAAGUUGGCCCUCAAAUAUGAGAAUCCAAAUAUGACUUUAUUGUACAGAUGGGAGCAGGUGACGAGCAAAGAGGUGCUGUUGUAUUCUUGCCACGAAAAAGAAGAUUCAUCCUUCUCCUUUUGCUUAUAUAUUCAGCAGACCUUACAGCUCAAUAAAAAUGAGAUGUUUAAAUAUUUAAUAAACAUGCGUAGAGCUAAUGUAUUGCUAAAACUGAUGGAGUAGCCUGGCAGAUUCUCACGGAAACAUAAAGUAGCCUAUAUACAAAUGGAGCCGUUCAG
Molecule: long non-coding RNA, 866 nt
Filed under: Capra hircus (goat)
Lineage: Eukaryota; Metazoa; Chordata; Mammalia; Artiodactyla; Bovidae
Description: lncRNA (ENSCHIG00000001121.1)
Source: RNAcentral